GAGUUUUGUCCACGGGAGUGUAUUUUAUUUAGCUCCUACCCUCUGUACCUCAUCAACUAAGAGACCUAGGUGUCAUUCAAGGACAGCGAGUGUCAACCCAUCCGCUACGGGGAGACGCGCCUGGUAGCAGUUUCUCCUCUGCUGCAGAACAUUGUGAAUCA
Molecule: long non-coding RNA, 161 nt
Organism: Cotesia glomerata
Lineage: Eukaryota; Metazoa; Arthropoda; Insecta; Hymenoptera; Braconidae
Exons: 3
Source: RefSeq, a predicted model, not a curated record